This 581-nucleotide ribosomal RNA is filed under the name uncultured Alphaproteobacteria bacterium. RNAcentral describes it as "bacterial SSU rRNA". The stretch from base 60 to 581 matches the Rfam family "Bacterial small subunit ribosomal RNA", at positions 1 to 574 of the family's 1533-position model. Lineage: Bacteria; Pseudomonadati; Pseudomonadota; Alphaproteobacteria. The record is from RNAcentral.
CAUCCAACGCGUUGGGAGCUCUCCCAUAUGGUCGACCUGCAGGCGGCCGCGAAUUCACUAGUGAUUAGAGUUUGAUCAUGGCUCAGAGCGAACGCUGGCGGCAGGCUUAACACAUGCAAGUCGAACGGUCCUUCGGGAUAGUGGCGGACGGGUGAGUAACACGUGGGAACGUACCCUUAGGUUCGGAACAACACAGGGAAACUUGUGCUAAUACCGGAUAAGCCCUUCGGGGGAAAGAUUUAUCGCCUUUGGAGCGGCCCGCGUCUGAUUAGCUUGUUGGUGAGGUAAUGGCUCACCAAGGCUACGAUCAGUAGCUGGUCUGAGAGGAUGGCCAGCCACACUGGGACUGAGACACGGCCCAGACUCCUACGGGAGGCAGCAGUGGGGAAUCUUGCGCAAUGGGCGAAAGCCUGACGCAGCCAUGCCGCGUGGAUGAUGAAGGUCUUAGGAUCGUAAAAUCCUUUCACCGGGGACGAUAAUGACGGUACCCGGAGAAGAAGCCCCGGCUAACUUCGUGCCAGCAGCCGCGGUAAUACGAAUCGAAUUCCCGCGGCCGCCAUGGCGGCCGGGAGCAUGCGACG